AUAAAUUGUCUUUUUGACACAUCCCCUAUCCAGUCCAUUCCAAUUUUAGACAAUGUAUAUUAAACUUGUAUUUUGUGUAUCUUCUCAAGGGAUGUAGAAAAGACAUUUCCUUACUCAAGAGAAGCACACCUUGUACCUGUUAGAUAAUGAGGAACAAAAAGAUUCAGUGUCUUUUUGUUUUUGGAAUGUACAAGUACCCGGCCACGUCCACUUAUUUGUAAUAUUUGUAUUUUUAUUGAUCUUAGCCUUUUUUUAACUAAUUUUUAUAGUUCGUUCUUAUGUUUUACUGUUACAC
RNAcentral lists this long non-coding RNA (295 nucleotides) under Mytilus galloprovincialis (Mediterranean mussel). Lineage: Eukaryota; Metazoa; Mollusca; Bivalvia; Mytilida; Mytilidae. The record is from RNAcentral.